This 67-nucleotide transfer RNA is filed under the name Lissachatina fulica (giant African snail). Its description in RNAcentral is "tRNA-His". Lineage: Eukaryota; Metazoa; Mollusca; Gastropoda; Stylommatophora; Achatinidae. The record is from RNAcentral.
UUAUGUGUAGGUUAAAAUAUAUAAACUGAGGGCUUGUGAUGCCUACGAUCUUCUAUAAGCGCAUAAU